This 443-nucleotide ribosomal RNA is filed under the name uncultured bacterium. Its description in RNAcentral is "partial 16S ribosomal RNA". It matches the Rfam family "Bacterial small subunit ribosomal RNA", at positions 338 to 795 of the family's 1533-position model. The record is from RNAcentral.
CCUACGGGCGGCAGCAGUGGGGAAUAUUGGGCAAUGGGCGCAAGCCUGACCCAGCAACGCCGCGUGAAGGAAGAAGGCUUUCGGGUUGUAAACUUCUUUUAUCAGGGACGAAGCAAGUGACGGUACCUGAUGACUAAGCCACGGCUAACUACGUGCCAGCAGCCGCGGUAAUACGUAGGUGGCACGCGUUAUCCGGAUUUACUGGGGGUAAAGGGCGAGUAGGCGGGAGUGCAGGUCUGAGGUGAAAACAAUGGGCGCAACCCAGAGCCUGCAUUUGAAACUGUACUUCUGGAGUGCUGGAGAGGCAAUCGGAAUUCCGGGUGUAGCGGUGAAAUGCGUAGAUAUACGGAGGAACACCAGUGGCGAAGGCGGAUUGCUGGACAGUAACUGACGCUGAGGCGCGAAAGCGUGGGGAGCAAACAGGAUUAGAUACCCCUGUAGUC